GAUGAACGCUGGCGGCGUGCUUAACACAUGCAAGUCGAACGGAAAGGCUCCUGCUUGCAGGGGUACUCGAGUGGCGAACGGGUGAGUAACACGUGGGUGAUCUGCCCUUCACUUCGGGAUAAGCCUGGGAAACUGGGUCUAAUACCGGAUAGGACGAUGGUUUGGAUGCCAUUGUGGAAAGUUUUUCGGUGUGGGAUGAGCUCGCGGCCUAUCAGCUUGCUGGUGGGGUAAUGGCCUACCAAGGCGUCUACGGGUAGCCGGCCUGAGAGGGUGAACGGCCACAUUGGGACUGAGAUAAGGCCGAGACUCCUACGGGAGGCAGCAGUGGGGAAUAUUGCACAAUGGGCGCAAGCCUGAUGCAGAGACGCCGCGUGGGGGAUGACGGCCUUCGGGUUGUAAACUCCUUUCGCUAGGGACGAAGCGCAAGUGACGGUACCUGGAGAAGAAGCACCGGCUAACUACGGG
Molecule: ribosomal RNA, 465 nt
Filed under: uncultured bacterium
Lineage: Bacteria
Description: partial 16S ribosomal RNA
Rfam family: Bacterial small subunit ribosomal RNA
Source: RNAcentral